GACGAACGCUGGCGGCGUGCUUAACACAUGCAAGUCGAACGGAAAGGCCCUGCUUUUGUGCGGUGCUCGAGUGGCGAACGGGUGAGUAACACGUGAGUAACCUGCCCUUGACUUUGGGAUAACUUCAGGAAACUGGGGCUAAUACCGCAUAGGAGCUCCUGCUGCAUGUUGGGGGUUGGAAAGUUUCGGCGGUUGGGGAUGGACUCGCGGCUUAUGAGCUUGUUGGUGGGGUAGUGGCUUACCAAGGCUUUGACGGGUAGCCGGCCUGAGAGGGUGACCGGCCACAUUGGGACUGAGAUACGGCCCAGACUCCUACGGGAGGCAGCAGUGGGGAAUAUUGCACAAUGGGCGGAAGCCUGAUGCAGCAACGCCGCGUGCGGGAUGACGGCCUUCGGGUUGUAAACCGCUUUCGCCUGUGACGAAGCGUGAGUGACGGUAAUGGGUAAAGAAGCACCGGCUAACUACGUG
RNAcentral lists this ribosomal RNA (468 nucleotides) under uncultured bacterium. Its description in RNAcentral is "partial 16S ribosomal RNA". It matches the Rfam family "Bacterial small subunit ribosomal RNA", at positions 28 to 507 of the family's 1533-position model. The record is from RNAcentral.